GACUCCUCCAUCGCAAGAGCCCAACAGCUCAAACAACCCAGCUCCAUCAAACCCGACGAAAAUGCUCUCACCGCCCCCUCUGCAUCCGCCGCCGUCGUGAAAUCACCUCUUUCUGCUAAAAGCUACGGCGGAUACUCCGUCUCACUCAGCUUCGGCACACCGUCGCAGACAAUCCCUUUCGUGUUCGAUACCGGAAGCAGCCUCGUCUGGUUCCCUUGCACCUCACGUUAUCUCUGCACCGGAUGCGGUUUCUCCGGGUUGGAUCCGGGUCGGAUCCGUAGAUUCAUCCCCAAGAACUCCACCUCGUCACGGGUUAUCGGGUGUCAGAAUCCGAAAUGCCAGCUUCUGUUCGGACCCAAUGUUAAAUGCAGUGGAUGUGACCCGAGUACCCGUAACUGCACCGUCGGUUGCCCACCGUACAUUCUCCAAUACGGAUUAGGAUCAACGGCUGGGAUUUUACUAUCCGAGAAGCUUGAUUUCCCGGAUCUAACCGUACCCGAUUUCGUCGUCGGAUGCUCCAUUUUGUCUACCCGACAACCCGCUGGUAUCGCCGGGUUUGGACGCGGACCCGAAUCUCUCCCUGUGCAGAUGAAGCUCAAGAGAUUCUCGCAUUGCUUGGUUUCCCGCCGGUUCGACGAUACCGAUGUGAGCACGGAUCUCGAUCUGGAUACCGGGUCGGGUCAUAAUGCCGGGUCGAAAACUCCGGGUCUAAGCUACACGCCGUUUCGAAACAACCCCAAUGUCUCCAACGCUGCGUUUCUUGAGUACUACUACCUCAAUCUCCGUCGAAUCUACGUCGGAAGCAAGCGCGUGAAGAUCCCCUACAAGUUCCUCGCGCCGGGGCCCGACGGAAACGGAGGGACCAUCGUCGAUUCCGGAUCCACAUUCACUUUCAUGGAUCGACCCGUUUUCGAGCUCGUUGCUGAAGAGUUCGCGGCGCAGAUGUCGAGUUACAGCAGAGAAAAGGACUUGGAGAAGAUCACCGGACUUGGACCGUGUUUCAAUAUCUCCGGCAAGGGAUCACUGACGGUGCCGGAGUUAAUCUUCGAGUUCAAAGGUGGAGCUAAAAUGGAGCUGCCGUUGUCUAACUACUUCACGCUUGUCGGAAGCGUUGAUAACGUCUGUUUAACGGUGGUUUCUGAUAACACCGUGAGUUCCACCGGUGGUCGGAGUGGUCCGGCGAUUAUUCUCGGGAGUUUUCAGCAACAGAACUAUCACGUGGAAUACGAUUUGGAGAAUGACAGGUUUGGGUUCGCGAAGAAGAAGUGUAUCCAGUGAGUUUCCAGGGGUAGAUUUGGAAAUUUAACUUUCCCAAUGAUGAGAACAGUUUUAUGAUUUUAAUUUCUUUUCCAAAUAAAAAGAGUUGUUAACUGUUUAUAAUUAUGUUUACCAUUGCUACUUUUACAUAAUUUUCAUGAUUAAAAGUAUUAUUUGGCCAGAUUAUAAAAAGUUUAGCCGGCAAAUUUUUUAUGUAAUUAUAAAAAUAUCAAAUGUAGUAAAUAUCCUCCUCCAUCGCAAGAGCCCAACAGCUCAAACAACCGAGCUCCAUCAAACCCGACGAAAAUGCUCUCACCGCCCCCUCUGCAUCCGCCGCCGUCGUGAAAUCCCCUCUUUCCGCUAAAAGCUACGGCGGAUACUCCGUCUCGCUCAGCUUCGGCACGCCGUCGCAGACAAUCCCUUUCGUGUUCGAUACCGGAAGCAGCCUCGUCUGGUUCCCUUGCACCUCACGUUAUCUCUGCACCGGCUGCGGUUUCUCCGGGUUGGAUCCGACCCGGAUACCUAGAUUCAUCCCCAAGAACUCCACCUCGUCGAC
Molecule: long non-coding RNA, 1813 nt
Filed under: Brassica napus (rape)
Lineage: Eukaryota; Viridiplantae; Streptophyta; Magnoliopsida; Brassicales; Brassicaceae
Description: long non-coding RNA (BNAP_LNC003405)
Source: RNAcentral